UGGCCCAGCAGGUUAUUUCAGUUCCCA
RNAcentral lists this non-coding RNA (27 nucleotides) under Mus musculus (house mouse). The record is from RNAcentral. Lineage: Eukaryota; Metazoa; Chordata; Mammalia; Rodentia; Muridae.